GAUUUUAUAAUUAUUAGUGUUUUAAGCUUUCUGGGAAAAGUAUUCUCCAUAAGAACACAUACCUUUGUUAUUUGAGUUUUAUAUAUUUAGCUUUCAUACAUUUCAAACAUUGCAGAGGAUUCCCUAUACUGAUUUAGGGCAAAGGAAAGCAAUAGGACCUUCCUCAGUGGGUUCCAUGCUGAGGAAUCAAGACUGCCAUUUUGAAGUGAAGCAGAUUAGUCUUUUAAGGAGAGAUAGAUCAAGGAAAAGAGACAGUGGAUCUUUCUACCUUGUUUUAAGUCAUCAGUUUUCUUCCAGUUUAGGUAAAAUUUAUGUCAUCCAUUAAUUGGUUUUAAGUUCAGCUUCAGGACAGAUAAUUUGUGAGUGUAAAUUACUGUCAGGUCCUGCCAACAUAGUGACUGUCACUAUUUGUUAUGAAGCUCAAGGUCAGUUUUCAUUGACUAUUUUAUAGACGUAGACAGAUGGAGGCAGAAAUAGAUAACUAAAAUCUAUUUUUAGAACAGAGGCCAUAUUUUAGUUAUAUCAAGAAUCAUUUCUUAAUAUAUGGACCACUGACCUUUCUCCAGAUUAUGUCUUUUGUUUGAGGGGGAAGCUGGAUAUAAACUGGCAGUUAUAAAAAUUGUAAAGAAAUCAACUUGCCCAUUUUCAUUGUGUGUUUUUGGUCUCAAGCAUUUUCCAUGAACUGUGUGUGGAUUGGUUGCCUACAUCAGAUGACGAAGACAUGAGCGUUGCUACUAAGUGUGUCCCCAAGGAUGUGUCACAGCCUUUACCUGGACCUUCCCAUGAAAAAGGCAACGGAAUAGUCAAUGGAAAAGGGGAAGGGUCUUUUGCACAACAUCCUUCCUUGAAGGUAAUUAAUUAUGUAUAUUUUUUGAAGCACUAACUCCAUAUUGUAUAAAAUAUGUAUGAUUUAUGAAUCAUUUUCUUUUUAAAACCCAUUCAGGCUAGCACUAAAAUUGAAGAUCCUGCUGUGAAAGGGGCAGUACAAAGAAAGAAAGUACAGACCUUGAGAGAAGGUACAUUUUCAAUACAAAUGGAAUGCUAGGAAUAAGUGCAUUAAAUGAUGGAAGUGCUCACAUUUUUCUUACCGCUUACUCUAUUUGUUCAAAAUUGAAUGGAAGGCAUUGACAUAAAUAUUAUUGUUGGUAUUCAUAUUUGAAUAAAAAUAAAUUUAGAAGCCA
This 1181-nucleotide long non-coding RNA is filed under the name Piliocolobus tephrosceles (Ugandan red Colobus). RNAcentral's name for it is "lncRNA (ENSPTEG00000004133.1)". The record is from RNAcentral. Lineage: Eukaryota; Metazoa; Chordata; Mammalia; Primates; Cercopithecidae.